Molecule: ribosomal RNA, 1410 nt
Filed under: bacterium ASP39
Lineage: Bacteria
Description: partial 16S ribosomal RNA
Rfam family: Bacterial small subunit ribosomal RNA
Source: RNAcentral
CUUGCGGCUGUCUUAUCAUGCAGUCUAACGGCAGCACGUAGCUUGCUCUGCUGGCCAGUGGCGAACGGGUGAGUAAUAUAUCGCAACGUACCCUAGAGUGUGGGAUAACGUACCGAAAGUUACGCUAAUACCGCAUACUAUCUAUGGAUUAAAGUGGGGGAUCGCAAGACCUCAUGCUCGUGGAGCGGCCGAUAUCUGAUUAUCUAGUUGGUACGGUAAAAGCCUACCAAGGCAUCGAUCAGUCUCUGGUCUGAGAGGACGACCAGCCACACUGGAUCUGAGCCCGUUCCGCUCUCUACGGGAGGCAGCAGUGGGGAAUUUUGGACAAUGGGCGAAAGCCUGAUCCAGCAAUGCCGCGUGAGUGAAGAAGGCCUUCGGGUUGUAAAGCUCUUUUGUCAGGGAAGAAACGGUGAGAGCUAAUAUCUUUUGCUAAUGACGGUACCUGAAGAAUAAGCACCGGCUAACUACGUGCCAGCAGCCGCGGUAAUACGUAGGGUGCAAGCGUUAAUCGGAAUUACUGGGCGUAAAGCGUGCGCAGGCGGUUUUGUAAGUCUGAUGUGAAAUCCCCGGGCUCAACCUGGGAAUUGCAUUGGAGACUGCAAGGCUAGAAUCUGGCAGAGGGGGGUAGAAUUCCACGUGUAGCAGUGAAAUGCGUAGAUAUGUGGAGGAACACCGAUGGCGAAAGCAGCCCCCUGGGUCAAGAUUGACGCUCAUGCACGAAAGCGUGGGGAGCAAACAGGAUUAGAUACCCUGGUAGUCCACGCCCUAAACGAUGUCUACUAGUUGUCGGGUCUUAAUUGACUUGGUAACGCAGCUAACGCGUGAAGUAGACCGCCUGGGGAGUACGGUCGCAGAUAAACUCAAGGAUUGACGGGACCGCACAGCGUGAUGAUGUGAUAUCGAUGCACGCGAAAACUACUACCUGACAUGCUGAUCUGAGAGAUCAGAUGCUCGAAGAGACAGUACACAGUGCUGCAUGCCUGUCGUCAGCUCAGUCCUGAAUGGUGGGUUAGUCCGGCAACGAGCGCAACUGUCAUUAGUUGCUACCGAAGGUCACUCUAUGAACUGCUGUACAUCGAGAGUGGCAUGACUCAGUCUAUGUCUACGAUAGGCUCAACGUCAUCAAGUCCUCAUGGCCCUUAUGGGUAGGGCUUCACACGUCAUACAAUGGUACAUACAGAGCGCCGCCAACCCGCGAGGGGGAGCUAAUCGCAGAAAGUGUAUUGUAGUCCGGAUUGUAGUUUGCAACUCGACUGCAUGAAGUUGGAAUCGCUAGUAAUCGCGGAUCAGCAUGUCGCGGUGAAUACGUUCCCGGGUUUUGUACACACCGCCCGUCACACCAUGGGAGCGGGUUUUACCAGAAGUAGGUAGGUUAACCGCAAGGAGGGCGCUACCACGGUAGAUUCGGGC